GACGAACGCUGGCGGCGUGCCUAAUACAUGCAAGUCGAGCGGACGAAUCGAAAGCUUGCUUUUGAUUCGUUAGCGGCGGACGGGUGAGUAACACGUGGGCAACCUGCCCUGUAGACGGGGAUAACACCGAGAAAUCGGUGCUAAUACCGGAUAACACGAAAUGUCGCAUGACGUUUCGUUGAAAGACGGCGCAAGCUGUCGCUACAGGAUGGGCCCGCGGCGCAUUAGCUAGUUGGUGAGGUAACGGCUCACCAAGGCGACGAUGCGUAGCCGGCCUGAGAGGGUGAUCGGCCACACUGGGACUGAGACACGGCCCAGACUCCUACGGGAGGCAGCAGUAGGGAAUCUUCCGCAAUGGACGAAAGUCUGACGGAGCAACGCCGCGUGAGCGAAGAAGGCCUUCGGGUCGUAAAGCUCUGUUGUUAGGGAAGAACAAGUAACGCAGUAACUGGCGUUACCGUGACGGUACCUAACGAGAAAGCCACGGCUAACUACGUG
RNAcentral lists this ribosomal RNA (498 nucleotides) under uncultured bacterium. Its description in RNAcentral is "partial 16S ribosomal RNA". It matches the Rfam family "Bacterial small subunit ribosomal RNA", at positions 28 to 507 of the family's 1533-position model. The record is from RNAcentral.